Molecule: long non-coding RNA, 543 nt
Filed under: Anser brachyrhynchus (Pink-footed goose)
Lineage: Eukaryota; Metazoa; Chordata; Aves; Anseriformes; Anatidae
Description: lncRNA (ENSABRG00000008121.1)
Source: RNAcentral
AUGUGGACUGAAGGACCUCUGCACUGCCUGGUCAAAGACGGGAGGAUUUUAUCAUCUCUCCAGUUUUAUCUAUGGGACAGCAGCUGCAAAUUUGGGCUAUGCUGGACAGAGACUUACCCACCUACCAGCCUCAGGAUGUGGCAGCAUGUCCUCCUGCCCGCCGCUCCCUCUCUGCACAGCGGGCUGCUUCCGCCUGCAAUUGAGUCAAAUGAAACCUACUUCUCUGGCACUGUUUCCAGCAUGUUUGUUGUCACUGGAGCUGCAUGGUGCGGUAAGACCGGGCAGAGCAAUAAGAUCAGGCAUUGCAGUGGCUUCCGCUUGAUGCAGGACACACAGGUACAUACAAGAUAAAAGCUAAAUUCAUCACCAACAAUGCAACAACCCUGGCUGGGACUGUAGGAGGAAAAGUAAAUUCUGAAAGAUGAGCAGGACAACGUCCCCUGAACCCCUGCAGACAUCAGCUCAGGUGCUGUGUAAUCAAAAUGUUCUCUGCUUCUGGGGGGACAAGCAAAAAGAAAAUAAAUUUUCUGAACAGCGUGAACA